AGUAGAUGCCCCUGUAGCUCAGUGGUAGAGCUCCUGUAUGUGGUAGCGAAAGCGCCUAGAAUACCUACAAGGAGGUCGCAGGUUCUAAUCCUGCCCUGUGGCUA
This is a non-coding RNA of Meloidogyne enterolobii, 104 nucleotides long. Lineage: Eukaryota; Metazoa; Nematoda; Chromadorea; Rhabditida; Meloidogynidae. The record is from the annotation of a GenBank genome assembly.